GCCUAUGUGGCGGCAGACUCAAAAUCUGUUGGCCGCAAGGUCGUGUUGGUUCGAGUCCGACCGGGGGCA
This 69-nucleotide transfer RNA is filed under the name Nitrospirillum amazonense. Its description in RNAcentral is "tRNA-Leu". It matches the Rfam family "tRNA". From Rfam's summary of the family: Transfer RNA (tRNA) molecules are approximately 80 nucleotides in length. The record is from RNAcentral. Lineage: Bacteria; Pseudomonadati; Pseudomonadota; Alphaproteobacteria; Rhodospirillales; Azospirillaceae.